This 95-nucleotide ribosomal RNA is filed under the name Clostridium botulinum. Its description in RNAcentral is "partial 16S ribosomal RNA". It matches the Rfam family "Bacterial small subunit ribosomal RNA", at positions 1 to 91 of the family's 1533-position model. The record is from RNAcentral. Lineage: Bacteria; Bacillati; Bacillota; Clostridia; Eubacteriales; Clostridiaceae.
UUUUAAAUUUAGAGUUUGAUCCUGGCUCAGGACGAACGCUGGCGGCGUGCUUAACACAUGCAAGUCGAGCGAUGAAGCCUCCUUCGGGAAGUGGA